GAUGAACGCUAGCGGGAGGCUUAACACAUGCAAGUCGAGGGGCAGCAUAGGGUAGCAAUACUCUGAUGGCGACCGGCAAACGGGUGAGUAACGCGUAUGUAACCUACCCUGUACAGGGGGAUAACCCGGAGAAAUUCGGACUAAUAUCCCAUAACAAUAUCCGGGGGCAUCUUUGGAUAUUUAAAGUUCCGGCGGUACGGGAUGGGCAUGCGUAACAUUAGCUAGUUGGUAAGGUAACGGCUUACCAAGGCUUUGAUGUUUAGGGGUCCUGAGAGGGUGGUCCCCCACACUGGUACUGAGACACGGACCAGACUCCUACGGGAGGCAGCAGUGAGGAAUAUUGGUCAAUGGGCGCAAGCCUGAACCAGCCAUCCCGCGUGCAGGAAGACGGCGCUAUGCGUUGUAAACUGCUUUUCCAGGGAGAGAAACUUGCGCACGUGUUGCGCAAUUGACGGUACCCUGGGAAUAAGCAUCGGCUAACUCCGCG
This 487-nucleotide ribosomal RNA is filed under the name uncultured bacterium. Its description in RNAcentral is "bacterial SSU rRNA". It matches the Rfam family "Bacterial small subunit ribosomal RNA", at positions 28 to 507 of the family's 1533-position model. The record is from RNAcentral.